This 982-nucleotide long non-coding RNA is filed under the name Monodelphis domestica (gray short-tailed opossum). RNAcentral describes it as "lncRNA (ENSMODG00000046908.1)". The record is from RNAcentral. Lineage: Eukaryota; Metazoa; Chordata; Mammalia; Didelphimorphia; Didelphidae.
CUGGGUCAGGAUUCUAAGGCAGUUGGGGAACUAGCAACUGGCACUCUCAAUCUGGGAUGCAGACAACGAGGCUGUGUGGAAGUAUCUCCAUGAAGGAAACCAACUUUGGAGCUGUGGGAGACCUGGAUCAUCUUUAAGGAGAGGUUGAGUGAGUGUUCCCUUUCACAUCGGAGGACAGUACAUGGGGAGAAUGGCUAUUGAAAAGACACAGAGAUAGGAGAUCAAGUGUCCUGGGUGAGAAACAAGGAUGGAAUCCCAACAGUUUAGGCUCAUUGUACCACUGACCAUAUGUACAACAUCUGUUACGAGCAUCAGUGUGAUGUUGACGCUGUUUCCCCUCCACACACACUUUGCAAAGUAUUGAUUCUAAGAUGGAAGCAAAGAAAAAUAAAAGAAAACGAUCAUUCAAGACCCAGAAGAAGAAAACAGAAUUCAGCAACUCUAUAGGGUCUUUACAGAGCCUGCUGCCAAUUAAAUACGGCGACAUGGAAAUUAACAAAAGGGCCCGGCUUUGGGAGCAAGUCGUUUUCAAAGCGUCUGGUCCAUUUGCUGAGGAAGAACAAGGAAAAAGGGAUUUCUAUAGAGUCAAAAGCUACACAAAGGAACAAAAGGCACACGCUUCAUUUCGCUGCACAAAAGCAGGCGCUCUUAGCGGAGGGAGACUGCCAGUACAAAGUGGUCCAGCCUCGAAGAACGUCAAUGGAGCAUUAAAUCUCAGGGGUGGGCUGGGGCCAAGGCGGAUGGGAGUGUAGACGUCAAUCUUGGUUAUUCUUCCGCCUGCUGCCGAGAGAGCAGGAGGAAGGGGAGAUGAGGGAUCGGGCUUGUCGGAGUUAGGGAAUGCCGUUCUAAUUGAGGAACUCUGAAGUGGCCAGAACGGUCUUUGAGGGGAAAAACAAACAAACAAACAAACAAACAACUAUUGAAUUAUUUGUAACACAAUUAGGUGGCCUUAUGGGGGAAAUAAAGCAGUAAUGGGUCUUCG